RNAcentral lists this unclassified non-coding RNA (2426 nucleotides) under Hevea brasiliensis (rubber tree). Lineage: Eukaryota; Viridiplantae; Streptophyta; Magnoliopsida; Malpighiales; Euphorbiaceae. The record is from RNAcentral.
GAUUGAUAUGUAUGCAAAAUGCGGAAAUGUUGGGAGCGCGAGGUGGGUUUUUGAGAGAAUGGGAGAGAGAGAUCUUUUGUCAUGGAAUUCGAUGAUGUCGGGCUAUGUGUAUAAUGGGUUGCUAGAUUCGGCUGUGGAGCUUUUAGGUUUCUUGAGAUUGAAUAGUUUUGAGCCUGAUGUUGUUACUUUGAAUACUUUAAUAGAUGCCUAUUGUAGAAUGGGCCUCUUUGAUGAAGCUUGGGGAGUGUUUAAACAGAUUGAAUAUCCCAAUAUCAUCUCGUGGACCACUUUGAUCUCAGGUUAUUCUAAGAUUGGAGAGCAUGAAAUAUCAUUACGGGUAUUCAGAGAUAUGGUUACUAGAGGAAUGGUCUCCCCUGAUUUAGAUUGUCUUUCUUGCGUCCUUGUCUCCUGCCGUCACCUUGGUGCUAUGAGGAGAGGGAAAGAACUUCAUGGUUAUGGGAUGAAAAUGGAAACUACAACUGCAAUUUAUGGUUCGGCUGGUGCUGCUUUGCUCAUAAUGUAUGCUAAAUGCAGGAGAAUUCAGGAUGCUAGAAAUGUAUUUGAACUGAUGGACAAAUCUGAUGUUGUUACUUGGAAUGCCAUGAUUCUUGGUUUUGUUGAACUAGAGUUGGGGCAAUUAGCACUUGAAUGUUUUAUUGAAAUGCAAAGAUUGGGUCUUAAGAAUGAUGAGACAACAAUAUCUACUAUUUUGCCUGUGUGUAGUUUGAAAUAUGGGAAUCAAAUUCAUGCUUACAUUAUGAAAAACCGCUAUCUCAAUUCAGUUGUUCCAGUUUGGAAUGCAGUGAUUCACAUGUACUGCAAAUGUGGAAGCAUUAGAUCUGCAUACUCUGUAUUUUCUGGCAUGGCCUUCAGAGACAUAGUUUCAUGGAACACAAUGAUUGGAGGAUUUGGCAUGCAUGGACAUGGCCAGGCUGCACUUGAACUUCAACAAGAAAUGAAUCAGUCAAGCCUUUGUCCUAAUUCUAUGACUUUCACUUCUUUACUAUCAGCUUGUAGUCAUUCUGGUCUAGUGGAUGAGGGGCUUAAACUCUUCCAGAGAAUGACUGAAGACUAUGCGUUAACCCCAAGAAUGGAACACUAUUCUUGUAUCGUUGACAUGCUAGCACGCGCAGGUCAGUUUGCUGAUGCUGUGACAUUUAUUCACAAAAUGCCUGUAGAGCCUGACAAGUCUAUUUGGGGAGCUUUACUAGCUGCCUGUCGGGAUUAUCAAAAUGUCGAAGUUGGGAAGCUGGCUGCUGAAAAUUUAAUCCACUUGGAACCUGAACAAGCAGGACACUAUGUAACAUUGUCAAAUAUAUAUGCAAGAGCUGGAAGAUGGGAUGAUGCUGUAAGGGUGAGAAAACAAAUGGAAAGCAGAGGACUUGUCAAGGCAUCAGGUCAAAGUUGGAUUGAAACUGUAAAUAUGGAAAUUGCAAAUCACAACUUUCAAUGAUUUUCUAAAGCAGUAAUACCAUAUGGCUCGUUUGAGGGCCAGCUUCAAAUCAGGUGAGAAUGUGUAUUCCAAAUUAAGUCUUCAUAGGAAGACUUGCAGGUUUUGGAAGAGCAUAUGGAAAUCAAGUCUUCCUAAGAGGAUGUCAAUUUUCUUAUAGAGACUUUUAAAGGAAUUUCUUCAUUGCAGUGAGCUUGUAAAUAAGAGAAUGCCCCGCAUUCCAAAAGAGUGUGACUCAUCGGACAAGUUGAAUCCCUUAGAGUUUAGACACAUUUGCGGACACAUUUUCUUCACCUGUCCUAGAGGCUAGAGCUUUGGAGGUUGGGCUACAUUUUCCUUUAUUCCUGCGUUCCACUUAAGUACAGAGUCUGAGCAUGCAAGAUAUACGGGAAGAAAUAACUUUACAGCUGCUUCAGCAGGAUCGGGGGUAAGAAUUCAUUGUUUUACUUGUUUUCCUGCGAUGGCACAUUUGGGAGAGGCGGAACCAGCUUUCUUUUAAUCAUUAUUCAACUCCAUUCCAAGGGACAAUAGCUACAGCUAUCAACUAUUGUGAGGAAUUCAAGCAUAGUGCGGAUGGAAAUGCAGGAGGUAUAAUGGCCUUUUUGAUGCCCUGACUCUUGAAUCUCUUGCAUGCCGAGAGGCAAUCCUACUUGCGGCAAAGAAGGGUUUUCAUCAGAUAAUUCUUGAAGGGGAUUGUCAAACAGUGAUCAGAGUUCUUCAGGGUGAUUCGGCUCGGCUGGAAGUCCAGGAUGUCAUCAAUGAUGUCAAACUCAUUGCUGCAUCUCGACAAUAUAUCCUUCUCCUUCGUAUAGAGAAGGAAGUAGAGCCCAUAGUCUAGCAUCUAAGGUUAUUAAGGAACUCAAGACACAAAUAUAUGAGGCUCAUACGUUUAAUAGUUUAAUAGGUGAAUAUUUAAUAUGCAUAGUGUGAUAUAAUGGGCCUUAUAACCAUGAGUUUAGGAGCAUGGAUUCUUUGU